GUAACGGCGAGUGAAGCGGUAAAAGCUCAAAUUUGAAAUCUGGUACUUUUAGUGCCCGAGUUGUAAUUUGUAGAAUUUGUCUUUGAUUAGGUCCUUGUCUAUGUUCCUUGGAACAGGACGUCAUAGAGGGUGAGAAUCCCGUUUGGCGAGGAUACCUUUUCUCUGUAAGACUUUUUCGAAGAGUCGAGUUGUUUGGGAAUGCAGCUCAAAGUGGGUGGUAAAUUCCAUCUAAAGCUAAAUAUUGGCGAGAGACCGAUAGCGAACAAGUACAGUGAUGGAAAGAUGAAAAGAACUUUGAAAAGAGAGUGAAAAAGUACGUGAAAUUGUUGAAAGGGAAGGGCAUUUGAUCAGACAUGGUGUUUUUUGCAUGCACUCGCCUCUCGUGGGCUUGGGCCUCUCAAAAAUUUCACUGGGCCAACAUCAAUUCUGGCAGCAGGAUAAAUCAUUAAGAACGUAGCUACCUCGGUAGUGUUAUAGCUUUUUGGAAUACUGCUAGCUG
This 499-nucleotide ribosomal RNA is filed under the name Hanseniaspora meyeri. RNAcentral's name for it is "LSU rRNA". It matches the Rfam family "Eukaryotic large subunit ribosomal RNA", at positions 83 to 581 of the family's 3401-position model. Lineage: Eukaryota; Fungi; Ascomycota; Saccharomycetes; Saccharomycodales; Saccharomycodaceae. The record is from RNAcentral.